UACGUAGGUGGCAAGCGUUAUCCGGAAUUAUUGGGCGUAAAGCGCGCGCAGGUGGUUUCUUAAGUCUGAUGUGAAAGCCCACGGCUCAACCGUGGAGGGUCAUUGGAAACUGGGAGACUUGAGUGCAGAAGAGGAAAGUGGAAUUCCAUGUGUAGCGGUGAAAUGCGUAGAGAUAUGGAUGAACACCAGUGGCGAAGGCGACUUUCUGGUCUGUAACUGACACUGAGGCGCGAAAGCGUGGGGAGCAAACAGG
This 253-nucleotide ribosomal RNA is filed under the name uncultured bacterium. RNAcentral's name for it is "partial 16S ribosomal RNA". It matches the Rfam family "Bacterial small subunit ribosomal RNA", at positions 524 to 776 of the family's 1533-position model. The record is from RNAcentral.